CAGCUGGCCUUUCACUGUGGAAGACAGAGCAUUUCACCCACUAAGAGUACCCAUUGUGCGGCAAACGUGACUAACAAGUCCCUGGGGUGAAGAGUGUAAAACCGCACACUCUUCAGAGGAAGACCAGAUGACCAGGCUGGAGCUCAAAAGAAAACCCAACUUCCACGCCCCCACUUUGCUCAGAAGGGCUGAGGUUAGGGAACCAGGCCAAGUAUAGGGGUAGUGAAUGAAAGGAAGGGCUACAUCUGGACUCAGAGGCUGCCCUGGAGGAUGCCAGGGAGAGGAGAGAUAGAAAUUCCCACCCUUAGCCUCCAAAUGCACACUGAAUGAAGACAUUUCUAAGAGGGAGAUCUGCAACUCGUUAGCACUAUCAAGCCCCACACCCCAGAUGUUAAUAUGUGCCUAACGUCUCUCUGCCUUGCAAAAAGGGAUCAGACAAUUCUUCCCUGGAAGCUGCCUCUGUGACAAUUAAAAGCUGGAGAACUACAAUGCCUGAACCCGUAGCUUGGGGCACUAGAGCCAAGACUCUAGAUGCCAGGAAAAGGGGCCAGCAGCUGCCAGGCAGUUCCACGGGAAAGCCUCACAUGGAUGACAUAAUGUAGGUGUGACAAUCACCAUCUACAGCAGCUGUGGAAAAGACCUUAUGCAAAAGAGCAAGGAAGGAGAUGCAAUUCUUAUCUUCCAUGAUAUAUAUCUCAGUUAGGGACAUAGUAGCACCAAGACGGCUGACAGCGGAAGAGACUAGGCAUCAACCACAGGAGUGGUCCUGUAUAGGGCAUGAACAAACAGAACAGACAGAGAUCCAACUCACAGUGUGAUGGUCAAAUGGGUUUGUGUUCAUCCAUCCACCCACUCCACCCAUCCAUCCAUCUGCCUAUCUACCCACCCACGACCUACCCAUUCAGGGUUUGUUGAACACCUAACAAAAUUACCUAUACUGUUUAGGCACCAGAGAGACCAGGAAAGAAUGCUGGAGAACUGGGUAACCAGUACUCAAAAGCCCCUGAGUUAACCACUUCAAUUAAACCCAUAUAACAACCUGUAAA
Non-coding RNA from Cricetulus griseus (Chinese hamster), 1046 nucleotides. NCBI's taxonomy places the organism in Eukaryota, Metazoa, Chordata, Mammalia, Rodentia, Cricetidae. The record is from RefSeq and is a predicted model, not a curated record.